GAUAAACAAGCGAUCACAAAGAACAACCUUAGCCGAACUUCCGCUGAUUUGAACCAAACGGUACGUACUGUAGCUUCCUGACGUCACGUUGUUGCUUCGUCGGCUGUGAUCAGCUGUGAGCAGCCGAGCGCCCAAAGCAGCAGCAACGUUGAUACUGGCGUCGGAACCGGAGAGCGCAAGUUUACACACGGACCCCAAUCCCCGUGGAAAUGUGACUUUCUGCGUUACAUAUAAGAACCAUGGAAACAGCAAACACUGUAGAAAGUGGUCCUCCAUGUUUCCUUUUUAAUGAUUGUCUCUUGAAAAAUGCAUCAUGAAAGGAAGAAGAGGAGAAGCACAAAUAAGGUUUGAGAAGAGCUGGUGAGCCUCCAGAGGGGAAGAGAUGGGAGA
Astatotilapia calliptera (eastern happy) is the source of this 390-nucleotide long non-coding RNA. NCBI's taxonomy places the organism in Eukaryota, Metazoa, Chordata, Actinopteri, Cichliformes, Cichlidae. The record is from Ensembl.